This 1282-nucleotide ribosomal RNA is filed under the name uncultured fungus. RNAcentral describes it as "eukaryotic LSU rRNA". The stretch from base 1 to 240 matches the Rfam family "Eukaryotic small subunit ribosomal RNA", at positions 1593 to 1831 of the family's 1831-position model. The record is from RNAcentral. Lineage: Eukaryota; Fungi.
UUGCUCUUCAACGAGGAAUGCCUAGUAAGCGCAUGUCAUCAGCAUGCGUUGAUUACGUCCCUGCCCUUUGUACACACCGCCCGUCGCUACUACCGAUUGAAUGGCUCAGUGAGGCCUUCGGACUGGCUCAGGGAGGUCGGCAACGACCACCCAGAGCCGGAAAGUUCGUCAAACUUGGUCAUUUAGAGGAAGUAAAAGUCGUAACAAGGUUUCCGUAGCUCAAGUUACGGGACAUAUGUCUUCCCUCCUUAGGGGGGGUCCGACGUAUGAUCCUUCUGCAUAACACUUGCCGAAGCCUUAGCAGCCUGAAAGGGUGCACCCCUACGACUCUAAAGAACAGAGGGAUGCUUAAAUGCUAGUCUAGCUAUCCAUGGGGGUACUAGGCAACACUAUCAAAUUGCGGGAACACCCUAAAGAUCUCAACACCAAGCGUCACUGGAAACAGUGGCGUGGCCGAGCUAAUAGCCCUGGGUAUGGUAACAGCUUGAGAUAUGAUACUCUUUCUAAGAGUUGAAAUGGGCAAUCCGCAGCCAAGUCCUAAGGUAUACCAAGUGUAUGCUAUGGAUGCUGUUCACAGGCCAAAUGGUAGUGGGUGGUGAGGCUUUACAUAGCCAAACUGCUUAAGAUAUGGUCGGGCUCCCUUAGAAAUAUGGGAGAUAAGCUUAUGCUAAUCCAAACCGUUCCGUAGNUGAACCUGCGGAAGGAUCAUUACAAGAGUAUUUCAGUUUGGCUUUAUGCCCUCUGAAAAUCUCCACCCUUUGUUUACAUUACCUUUGUUGUUGCCUCGGUGGGUGCUUUCUAGCACCUGCCGGCAGACACCUUCAAAAACCCUUGAUUUAAUACUAUAGUCAGAGCUGUAACAAGCAAAAGAUUAAUAAAUCAAAACUUUCAACAACGGAUCUCUUGGUUCUGGCAUCGAUGAAGAACGCAGCGAAAUGCGAUAAGUAAUGUGAAUUGCAGAAUUCAGUGAAUCAUCGAAUCUUUGAACGCACAUUGCGCCCUUUGGUAUUCCGAAGGGCACACCUGUUCGAGCGUCAUUACACCAAUCAAGUCUUACUUGGUAUUGGGCUCUUUUGUCCCUAAGAAAUUGGGGACAGGCCUUAAAGACAUUGGCGGCAUAGUCCGGCUUCGAGCGUAGCAAAAACAUCGCUUUUGGAGUUAACUGGAUUAAUGUUCUUUGUCCAUAAAAAACUAGAGUAGAAAUACUCUGACUUUUUUCAAAGGUUGACCUCGGAUCAGGUGGGGAUACCCGCUGAACUUAAGCAUAUCAAUAAGCGGAGGA